CUCAAAUUUGAAAUCUGGCCCUUGGGUCCGAAUUGUAAUUUGUAGAGGAUGAUUUUGGUGCGGUAUCUUCCGAGUUCCUUGGAACAGGACGCCUUAGAGGGUGAGAGCCCCGUACGGUUGAAUGCCUAGCCUCUGUAAAUCUCCUUCGACGAGUCGAGUAGUUUGGGAAUGCUGCUCUAAAUGGGAGGUAAAUUUCUUCUAAAGCUAAAUACUGGCCAGAGACCGAUAGCGCACAAGUAGAGUGAUCGAAAGAUGAAAAGCACUUUGAAAAGAGGGUUAAAUAGCACGUGAAAUUGUUGAAAGGGAAGGAUUUAUGACCAGACUUUUUCUGGGCGGAUCAUCCGGUGUUCUCACCGGUGCACUUUGCCCAGUUUAGGCCAGCAUCGAUUUUCGGAGAGGGAUAAAAGCUUUGGGAAUGUGGCUCCCCCGGGAGUGUUAUAGCCCAUUGUAUAAUACCUUUCUGGGGAUCGAGGUACGCGCUUCUGCAAGGAUGCUGGCGUAAUGGUUAUCAAUCACCCGUCUUGAAACACGGACCAAGGAGUCGAACAUUUGUGCGAGUGUUUGGGUGUUAAACCCUCACGCGUAAUGAAAGUGAACGGAGGUGAGAGCCCUUACGGGUGCAUCAUCGACCGAUCCUGAAGUUUUCGGAUGGAUUUGAGUAAGAGCAUAACUGUUCGGACCCGAAAGAUGGUGAACUAUGCGUGGAUAGGGUGAAGCCAGAGGAAACUCUGGUGGAGGCUCGCAGCGGUUCUGACGUGCAAAUCGAUCGUCAAAUCUGCGCAUGGGGG
RNAcentral lists this ribosomal RNA (788 nucleotides) under Seiridium corni. RNAcentral describes it as "LSU rRNA". It matches the Rfam family "Eukaryotic large subunit ribosomal RNA", at positions 108 to 923 of the family's 3401-position model. Lineage: Eukaryota; Fungi; Ascomycota; Sordariomycetes; Amphisphaeriales; Sporocadaceae. The record is from RNAcentral.